AGUCGAACGGCAGCACGAGAGCUUGCUCUUGGUGGCGAGUGGCGAACGGGUGAGUAAUAUAUCGGAACGUAUCCAAUAAUGGGGGAUAACUAAUCGAAAGGUUAGCUAAUACCGCAUACGCCCUACGGGGGAAAGCAGGGGAUCUUCGGACCUUGCGUUAAUGGAGCGGCUGAUAUCUGAUUAGCUAGUAGGUGAGGUAAAGGCUCACCUAGGCUUCGAUCAGUAGCUGGUCUGAGAGGACGACCAGCCACACUGGAACUGAGACACGGCCCAGACUCCUACGGGAGGCAGCAGUGGGGAAUUUUGGACAAUGGGCGCAAGCCUGAUCCAGCAAUGCCGCGUGCAGGAUGAAGGCCUUCGGGUUGUAAACUGCUUUUGUACGGAGCGAAAAGGCUCUCUCUAAUACAGGGGGCUCAUGACGGUACCGUAAGAAUAAGCACCGGCUAACUACGUGCCAGCAGCCGCGGUAAUACGUAGGGUGCAAGCGUUAAUCGGAAUUACUGGGCGUAAAGCGUGCGCAGGCGGUUAUGUAAGACAGAUGUGAAAUCCCCGGGCUCAACCUGGGAACUGCAUUUGUGACUGCAUAGCUAGAGUACGGCAGAGGGGGAUGGAAUUCCGCGUGUAGCAGUGAAAUGCGUAGAUAUGCGGAGGAACACCGAUGGCGAAGGCAAUCCCCUGGGCCUGUACUGACGCUCAUGCACGAAAGCGUGGGGAGCAAACAGGAUUAGAUACCCUG
Molecule: ribosomal RNA, 736 nt
Filed under: uncultured bacterium
Lineage: Bacteria
Description: bacterial SSU rRNA
Rfam family: Bacterial small subunit ribosomal RNA
Source: RNAcentral